This 461-nucleotide ribosomal RNA is filed under the name uncultured Syntrophus sp. RNAcentral describes it as "bacterial SSU rRNA". It matches the Rfam family "Bacterial small subunit ribosomal RNA", at positions 920 to 1382 of the family's 1533-position model. Lineage: Bacteria; Pseudomonadati; Thermodesulfobacteriota; Syntrophia; Syntrophales; Syntrophaceae. The record is from RNAcentral.
CCCGCACAAGCGGUGGAGCAUGUGGUUUAAUUCGAUGCAACGCGAAGACCUUACCUGGGCUUGACAUCCCGAGAAUCCCCUGGAAACAGGGGAGUGCCUUUCGGGGAACUCGGAGACAGGUGCUGCAUGGCUGUCGUCAGCUCGUGUCGUGAGAUGUUGGGUUAAGUCCCGCAACGAGCGCAACCCUUGUCUUUAAUUGCCAGCAUUCAGUUGGGCACUUUAAAGAGACUGCCGGUGUUAAGCCGGAGGAAGGUGGGAUGACGUCAAGUCCUCAUGGCCUUUAUGCCCAGGGCUACACACGUGCUACAAUGGGUGGUACAAAGAGAUGCCAACUCGCGAGAGCGCGCCAAUCUCAGAAAGCCAUCCUCAGUUCGGAUUGGAGUCUGCAACUCGACUCCAUGAAGUUGGAAUCGCUAGUAAUCGCGGAUCAGCACGCCGCGGUGAAUACGUUCCCGGGCCUU